AUACGUAGGAUCCGAGCGUUGUCCGGAUUUACUGGGCGUAAAGGGUGCGUAGGCGGCGUGGUAAGUCUCAUGUGAAAUCUCCCGGCUUAACUGGGAGGGGUCAUGGGAUACUGCCAUGCUCGAGGGCAGUAGAGGAGAGCGGAAUUCCGGGAGUAGCGGUGAUAUGCGUAGAUACCCGGAGGAACACCCGUGGCGAAAGCGGCUCUCUGGGCUGUACCUGACGCUAAGGCACGAAAGCGUGGGGAGCAAACCGGAUUAGAUACCCCGGUAGUCC
This 274-nucleotide ribosomal RNA is filed under the name uncultured bacterium. Its description in RNAcentral is "partial 16S ribosomal RNA". It matches the Rfam family "Bacterial small subunit ribosomal RNA", at positions 523 to 796 of the family's 1533-position model. The record is from RNAcentral.